Molecule: non-coding RNA, 348 nt
Organism: Meleagris gallopavo (turkey)
Lineage: Eukaryota; Metazoa; Chordata; Aves; Galliformes; Phasianidae
Source: RefSeq, a predicted model, not a curated record
CCUGGCGCUGCGGCCCGCGGUGAGGUGAGGGGAAGGACCUUGAGCCGGCUCCCCGCCGCCUCGGAGGGAGGGAGAAGAAGCGAGGGCACGGCCGUGUGUCUGUAGCGAUUUGACAUGAAGGUUAGAAAGAGGGACACUUGAACUCUCAGCUCCCAAGAUUGGAAGGAGGGGGAGAGGAGGGGAGGGAAGGACGGGAGCCAACCGCAGAACAACAAACCAAAACCAACCAACAAGCAAAAAUCUCUGCCUGCCUGUAAUACUUUACAUAGAUGUAAAUUACUGGUAUUCUUACGUUAAUGAAUAAUUACGUGCAAGAAGUAAAUACAGCUUUGAAAAUACUACUUUAAA